RNAcentral lists this ribosomal RNA (496 nucleotides) under uncultured bacterium. RNAcentral's name for it is "partial 16S ribosomal RNA". It matches the Rfam family "Bacterial small subunit ribosomal RNA", at positions 28 to 506 of the family's 1533-position model. The record is from RNAcentral.
GAUGAACGCUGGCGGCGUGCCUAAUACAUGCAAGUCGAGCGAACAGACGAGGAGCUUGCUCCUCUGACGUUAGCGGCGGACGGGUGAGUAACACGUGGAUAACCUACCUAUAAGACUGGGAUAACUUCGGGAAACCGGAGCUAAUACCGGAUAAUAUAUUGAACCGCAUGGUUCAAUAGUGAAAGACGGUUUUGCUGUCACUUAUAGAUGGAUCCGCGCCGCAUUAGCUAGUUGGUAAGGUAACGGCUUACCAAGGCAACGAUGCGUAGCCGACCUGAGAGGGGAGUGCGCGACCGGGGAAGUGAAACGCGGCCCAGGCCCCUACAGAGGGGAGAAGUUGGAAGUUGUCGGAAGGGGGGGAAAACCUGACGAAGAACCGCCGGGAGGGAGAUGAGAGUCUGCGUGAGGGAAAACUCUGUUAGUAGGAAAAAAAAAAUUUGAAGGUAACUAAGCAGGUGUGGGGGGAACCUAAUAAAAAGGCCCGGGCUAACUACGU